RNAcentral lists this long non-coding RNA (517 nucleotides) under Pan troglodytes (chimpanzee). Its description in RNAcentral is "long non-coding RNA NONPTRT016689". The record is from RNAcentral. Lineage: Eukaryota; Metazoa; Chordata; Mammalia; Primates; Hominidae.
AUAAAAUUUCAACUUAUAAUUCAGUCAAAAGGUGCCUGACUUAUACAAGCAAUCUAUAGGAAUGUGACAUUAAAUCUUUGCUUCUGCUACCUAAGAUGCAAAAUUUGUGAGGUGCAAUAUUUUUCUUCUCUUUAACUUCAUCCACACCUGAAAUCUCCUGGGAUCUCAACAUCUCUGAAACUGAAAAAAGGGCAGUCUGAAAACCUACUCCCCUUUUUAAAAACCCAAGUACAUAAACGGCUCACAAAAGAGAUCAUACUGCUGCAAAAGAGUUUACAUCUGAUGAAGAAACACUGAAAAACUGACUUCCACUUCCCACAAGGCACAAGGUGCCUGAGGCUUGACACCUCUGGCUUUUAUCAUGAUUUUGAACUCAAAGCAAACUUUGUUUUUAUGAACUGAAAAAAAACAAAUUUUGUUUUUCCUACAUAACAACUGAACCAUAUAAAAACCACAGUGCCCUCUCUCAUCUGUAUCUAAUUUACAAAAACAUUUAAAUUCCAAGAGUAAGUACUAU